Punica granatum (pomegranate) is the source of this 5124-nucleotide non-coding RNA. NCBI's taxonomy places the organism in Eukaryota, Viridiplantae, Streptophyta, Magnoliopsida, Myrtales, Lythraceae. The record is from RefSeq and is a predicted model, not a curated record.
UACAGAAAAGAAAAUCUCUCUCUCUCUCUCUCUCUCUCUCUCUCUCUCUUAACCGCCUCAACUCAUUCUCUCUCUCUGUCCUGUCGCCAUUGUUCCUUCCUCCGCCCUCUCUCCCUUAUUGCUCUGGAUGCUCUGGAUUCUUGCUCCGUUCUCCCUUCCUCCCAUUCCCUAGCACCUCCCCGACGCCGGAACCCCCCCCCCCCCCCCCCCCCCACCGGCGAAUACUCCCGCUAGGUACAGCUCGUCCCCACCCCUCAACCCUCACCUCCACCUAUACCUGGGGCAUCGGAUUGCUCCGGUCCACUCCAAAUUCGAUGAAACCUGUGACCUACUAGGGUUUUGGAUUUUUAUCUUGUGCAAUUAAUCGGCCAUGGCCGGUACCCGUAAAAGGGGAGGGAACAAGGUCGCGACCAAGCGUCAGUUGAGUUUGGGCGAUCUCGUUCUUGCCAAGGUUAAGGGCUUCCCCGCUUGGCCUGCUAAGGUUAGCCGACCUGAAGAUUGGGAUAAAACUCCCGACCCCAAAAAGAUUUUUGUUUAUUUUUUCGGAACCGAAGAGAUAGGUUUUAUUGCUCCUGCUGAUAUUCAAGUAUUCACUAGUGAGACAAAGAGUAAGUUGGUUGCUCGGUGUCAAAGUAAAAGUAAAUUAGUGAAGUGCUUUGCUCAAGCUGUGAAGGAAAUUUGUGCUGCUUUCGAUGAGUUACAUAGUAAACAAUCAAGUAGUUUGAGGGAUGACACGGAUGAGUUGCAGAAAUCUGUUGAUGGAUCAGAGGAUGAUGGGGUAGAAAAUGAUGAAAAGGUGGGAAUUGAUCCUAUGGGUUUCAUUAAAGAAAGAGCUAAUGAAGACAGCAAUGAUAAGGGCUCCAAGUUGGACCAGUGCUCGCCUGGGCAAUUUGAAGAUGAUAAUCAAGAUGCUAAGCAAUCUGCAUUGUGCCAUGGUAAUGGAAGUAUGUUUCCCACAGUUUCUUUGGACAAGAACAAAGACCCCAAUGGUGUACGGGUCAAAAAGGAUUCAGCCCCAGAUGGUCCUUCCUUUUUAAACAGGAAAAGUUCUGGAACUAAAAACGAUCAUAUUACUAAGCAAUCUGGUAAUGGAAAAAAAGCGUUUUCUAGUAGUCAUAAAUCCAAGACCGUGGUCUCAUCUAAGAGAGAAAGCUCAAGUGGUGGCCUCAGUCAUCUUGAGCAUGGUGAGAAAUCAGGAGAUCGAAGAAAAGUGGAUAUUACCUCUGGUAGCAGUCAGAAGGAAAUUUCUCGAGAUGAUCUGAAAUUGGACAAGAAACACUUUCUAGAGAACACAAGUAAUCUCGAGGAGGCUGAUGGUCCUGCGGAUGUGGAAACAUCGGAAGAGCAAGGCCAUGAAGAUCCUUUUGGGGAGAAACUUAUUGUUGUUCUUGGACUUGGAAAACCUAGUUUAGGGUGCGCUGAUGUUCGGUUACAUGCCAAAAGGUUGAUGCAUGCAGAAAUGAAUGUGGAUACAAGGUCAUCACUUCCAAAAGGCAUAAAGAAAAAAGAUGCUUCCGGUUCUAAUGUCUCGGUUGAUAAAGCAAUUAAACAGUCGGAUACUAAAAAACCCAUUGCUCGUGUUAGAGAAAGCUCGGUUUCUGAAAAGAAAACAGGUGUUUCUGGGUCUGACAAUCCUGGUGAGGAAGCUUCCCUUCCUAUAGCAAAGCGUCGUCGCUGGGCAUUGGAAGCCUUAUCUGAUGCUACCACUAGUGUUGAUGAUAGAGGGGGACCAAGAACUGAUGCCAUUUCUAGGAUUGAAAUAUCGGCCACUCGGCUGCCCAAGAAGAGGAGAGCAGUCUGCCUUUAUGAAGACGACGAUGAUGAACAGCCUAAAACUCCAGUUCAUGGGGGAACUUUGAGGAGUGUGAAAGUUCCCCUAAAUGUUGCAGAUAAUGCAAAAAGCACCGAAGCACCUGAUGGAGAUUCUGCUGUUCCAGGGAUAAGUAUGGAUGGACAGCCAAUGGAACCAUCUUCAGAACCACUGGAGGAAGCUCCUUCUCCUUCACCAAUGCGUGCCUUGGAGAAGAGAACUAAAAGGGAAACGGCUGUUCAUGCUGUAAGUAGUUCCACGGGAUCAGAAUUUGAGCGUUCGUCGUUGAAUGGGGUCAAAGCAAACUUGAUGUCCCCAAAAAAGUCUCCUGGGCUUCUCAUUGGCAAACCUAUUGCAGAGCAACACAGAUCCAUUAAGCCUCAGAUAAAGCCCUCAAAAGAUGGUACACAAAAGAAGACUUCUUCUGGGUCCCAUAAGGAAUCAAAUCCCUCUUCUAAUGAGUUAAAGCCUUUGCAAAAUCGAGCUACAUCCCAAAGAAACAGGCCAGAAUCCUCUAUUGAAAGGUUGAAAGGUACCCCGAGGGCAAUGUCACGACCAUAUGGAUCUACAAUGGCAGAAAAUGCUGCGGACUUCAAACGUUCACGAUCUGAAAGACUCGACAUUACUGUGGAGGAUAAUGAUAUUUUGUCGAGCACCUCCUCAAAUCAGGAUCCUGCUAUGACCAUGAAGCAUCUUAUUGCUGCUGCUCAGGCAAAACGGAGACAAACUCAGGCACUUAAUUUUUCUGUUGGGACAUUGAGCUUUCCUGCACUAUUGAGCACUGGUACUCAAGGAAUGAGCCCGAGCCCCACUUCUGGUCUGCACAUGCUGCCUGGUCCCAGUAGUCUCUUGCAAGCAGAACUGCAGGGAUCAAGCAACAAAAUGAACUUAGCUUCUCCAUCUGCCUGUACUGGAUCACAAAAUCAACAUGAUGCUGAAGAUUUGGAGGAGAGAAGGGCUAAUUCUGGUUCCAGGCCUGCUGGGGGAUCAUUAAGUGGCGGAACUGAGGCAGCUGUUGCUCGUGAUGCGUUUGAGGGAAUGAUAGAGACCUUAUCAAGGACUAAAGAUAGUAUUGGACGUGCCACUCGUCAUGCUAUUGAUUGUGCCAAGUUUGGCAUUGCCCAUGAGGUUGUUGAACUUCUGAUUCGGAAAUUGGAAAAUGAGUCAAGUUUCCAUCGAAAAGUGGACCUAUUUUUUCUUGUUGAUUCGAUCACCCAAUGUUCUCAUAGCCAGAAAGGUAUUGCUGGAGCGUCGUACAUUCCCAUUGUUCAAUCAGCUUUACCACGUCUCCUUGGUGCUGCUGCCCCUGCUGGAGUUGGUGCCCGUGAAAACCGGCGCCAGUGUCUCAAGGUUUUGCGUUUGUGGCUUGAGAGGAAAAUAUUGCCUGAAUCUGUUCUUCGGCACUAUAUGGAUGAAAUUGGAGUAUCGAAUGAUGAUGCAACUAGUGGAUCUUCCUUGCGACGUCCUUCUCGAGCUGAACGUGCUGUGGAUGAUCCAAUUAGAGAAAUGGAAGGCAUGCUUGUUGAUGAGUAUGGAAGCAAUGCGACGUUUCAGUUGCCGGGGUUUCUACCUUCUCACGUCUUUGAAGAUGAUGAUGAAGAUGAGGAUCAUGAAGAUCUUCCUAUCAUUCCCACCAAGGGGGGUCGUGUUGAUACUUCAACUGAAGAGUCAGCUCAUGUUUCAGGGGAGGCAAGAGCAUCUGAUGCCACUCCCAGUGACAGGCGCCAUUGUAUUCUGCAGGAUGUUGAUGGCGAGCUGGAAAUGGAGGAUGUCUCGGGACAUCCUAAGGAUGAAAGGUCUUUGAACAUGCAUGAUGUUGAUUUGGUGUCACAGUCUCAGGAAGCUGAUGAGAUUCGUGAACCUGCCUCUGCAAAUUUCGAGGAAGCUCCUCCAAUACCUGAGGGCUCACCACCGUUACCACUUGAUUCCCCUCCUCUGCCGCCACCUUUGCCACCUUCACCACCACCUCCGCCACCCCCCCCUCUGUCUCCGUCUCCACCGCCACCUCCACCUCCGCCGCCGCCACCUCUUCCCUCGCAGCCACCUCUCCCUCCAGCGCCUUCCUCAGGACCUCCACCUUUCAUUAGCACGACAGUGGCACCCCCCCAACAUCCAUUGGCAUCUCAAUCAGCAGUCACAGCUCAAUCAACAUUUCAGUCUUCCCCUCAGUUGAUAUAUCAACCACCAGUCGCUUGCGAGUAUUCUGGUCCAUCAAAUGGCAAUCAAGCUGUGCAGAUGGCUUCGCAGAAUCUUCAUGGGGUUCAUGCUGAUACUUCUGGAAAGAGUGAGUUGUUAAUGCAGCAACCACCUUUGUUUGUCCCAGUGGGAGUUAAUUCUCAAGAGCCUUCGGGAUUUAAUCCUUCGAGGCAAUCUGAUUUUGGGCAUAGUGGCCAAUAUUUGAGCUCCCAAGCUUCCCAACCCCACCAACAAUAUCAGCAAAGUAAUACGCCUUAUGCCAAGAGGCCACCACAUAUUAUUUCAACCCAAAAUGUGUCAAGCCAGUAUUCCUAUACAAAAGCACCCAUUCCUCAGCGUCCUCAUGCUCAUCAGUAUUCAUAUCCACCUCCAGAUACCCGGAGGCAGUUUGCUUCUGAUGAGUCAUGGAGGUCAACUACUGAAUUUCAUGCUGAUAAACAGAGCGGUUCAUGGAUGAACGGAACAAGAAGUUCUUCCGCUCCAAGUGGAGCAUAUUCUCAAGAAGGUUACUUUCGGCCGCACUUUGAAAGGCCUCAGUCAAAAAGCUUGUCUUUUCACCCCUCAUCAAUGAACAAUCCUCCUCCUCCUCCUCCUCCUCCUGUUCCAGGUCAUUCCGGUGCACGCAUGAUGCCAUCUAGACCAGAUAUAUCUUCAUUAAAUUGCUGGCGACCAGCUUAAGGACUGUAGAUUCUCUGGAGGAGAUUCCUAUUGUCAUUCCGUUGGGAGUUGUCAUCGAUGGAACAUGUCGGGACAGUUGACAGGACUGUGUACAUUGUAGAUUUUUCCUGACAAAUGUAUCCCUUGGAAGAUUUGCCUGCAAUAUAUAGGACCCCCCACCUUCUUUUUCCUGGAAGAUGUCCAAAUUCAAUUCCAACUGCAACUGAUAAAACUCACUCAUCUCGUCAUCAUCUUCUUGGGCCAUUGCAGCUGCCUAUGGAGCUACGUCAUGUUACGGCUCAUAAUGAGAUCAAUACAUCUGCUAGAGCAAUGCAUUUACUUUUCUUUUUUUUUUUUGUUCCCCCAAGUGUAUAUAUAAUGUUAUAGCGUAUCAAUCAAAUGUACAAACUACGUUGUAAAAUUUUCCACAAGUUUCUCUUUUCUCCCAUGCAAAAGAAACA